UCGUAUUGGAGUUGGUUAUUGCACUCCUGCGGGCCAAUCUCCCUUCGUCUUCUCUUUCUGAUCCACUUUAAGCCCAUAUUGGCCCAACUGCUCCAGCCUUUUAAUCGGCCGAUCUCUUCCAACUCUAUCCAUCAGAACACUGUAGCACCAAUCAGCCGAUCUCCAACUGUAGCACCAAUCGGCUGAUUCCCAAUAGUGACUUCUUCUCUUGCCGCAUCGGCCAAUCCUUUC
RNAcentral lists this long non-coding RNA (231 nucleotides) under Setaria viridis. RNAcentral's name for it is "long non-coding RNA (SVIR_LNC006823)". The record is from RNAcentral. Lineage: Eukaryota; Viridiplantae; Streptophyta; Magnoliopsida; Poales; Poaceae.